RNAcentral lists this ribosomal RNA (465 nucleotides) under uncultured cyanobacterium. RNAcentral describes it as "bacterial SSU rRNA". It matches the Rfam family "Bacterial small subunit ribosomal RNA", at positions 32 to 532 of the family's 1533-position model. The record is from RNAcentral. Lineage: Bacteria; Bacillati; Cyanobacteriota.
GUAACGCUGGCGGCGUGCUUACCAUGCAAUUCGAACGAACUUCGGGUUAGCUGGCGGACGUGGUGAGUAACGCGUGAGAAUCUGCCCUCAGGAGGGGGACAACAGCUGGAAACGGCUGCUAAUACCCCAUAUGCCGCGAGGUGAAAUGAAUUUCGCCUGAGGAUGAGCUCGCGUCUGAUUAGCUAGUUGGUGUAGGUAAUGGCUCACCAAGGCAUCGAUCAGUAGCUGGUCUGAGAGGAUGAUCAGCCACACUGGGACUGAGACACGGCCCAGACUCCUACGGGAGGCAGCAGUGGGGAAUUUUCCGCAAAUGGGCAAAAGCCUGACGGAGCAACGCCGCAGUGAGGGAUGAAGGCCUCUGGGCUGUAAACCUCUUCUAUCAAGGAAGAAGAUCUGACGGUACUUGAUGAAUAAGCCACGGCUAAUUCCGAUGCCAGCAGACGACGAGUAAAUACCGGCGAAAGU